GUUGCUCUUCUAAUCCAUGUAGGCGUCGUGUACCCGACCUUAAGCUUCUCAACAUUGGUAAAGUAGGAAGCCUUCUCCUGCAAUUCAUAAUUCAUUCAACCGUUAGUGUGGUGCAAGGAUGAAACAUUUGUGUGGUGCAAGGCAAUGGAUCUCAGGAUAAGAAUUAACAAACGAGGAAUAGUUGAACAACUCAUGCAAAAUGGCAAGGCGGAUAUGGAAACUAACAUUCGAGCAACAGUUUGAAUCGAUGAACAUAGAUUGUACAAACCCUAACAAGGCUACACACUAGAACCCUAAAUACCACCACAAGCAUGUGUGACACGCAUGUAGUACCGUUCAGCUCCUGUACGACCCACCUCUAUCUCUCCAUGGUUCUGCUGCUAGCCUGACGUGCUGCUACUCUGGUACACGGUGGAAAGUGCAGAACCGAAACAUUUUUUUUGUGGGUAGAUCCAAGACAGUUGCUACACGAGAAGUCUUAUCUCAUUACAAGUUGAUUAAUUUAACAUGGUGCUUCCGGAUAGAGAAGUUCUUUGAUUAAAAUAUUGAGCUAUGGGGCUGGAUACACACGGAUACAAUUGUUCAAUAAGUGUUUUUAGUAGAUUGUAGUCAAUAGCUUUGACCACGCAAAGAUCUUAUGUGCAUGUAACUUAGGGGGACUGACACACAGAGCUUAUACAAAUAAAUUGCAAAGUUAACAAGUAUUUUUUAUUGACAACUCUAUAAAAAUAUACGAAAAAGCUUAAUAUCUUACACAUUUUUAUAAGUAUAUUGUGAGGACAUAGCGCCCGCAAUAGCGUCCGCAAUUUGAAAGCUGCUAUACCGACCCAAACCCAUAACGAGCCCGCUAUCCGCUAUUUAAAAUUGUGCAAUAGUGAUGAAACACUCAACCGUCAUAGUGGUUCAACACAGAGAUAGGAUAAACCAUUACCUCUUAUGUACUUCUCCCUCGAUGGAUGCUCGCUAUGGUUGGUGGCCUUCACAAUCACAACGUCCAGUUCCUGUUUGUUCCGAAUAAAUGGUAAGCCAGCAGUGAGUGAAGCAUGAUAAAAGUAGAGGUUCAAAUAUGAAAAGCUUCAAAUACAAUUCAACAUUCAAUGGAAUCAUAAAGUGGCC
This 1116-nucleotide long non-coding RNA is filed under the name Hordeum vulgare. RNAcentral describes it as "long non-coding RNA (HVUL_LNC008907)". The record is from RNAcentral. Lineage: Eukaryota; Viridiplantae; Streptophyta; Magnoliopsida; Poales; Poaceae.